Molecule: RNA transcript, 2147 nt
Organism: Sceloporus undulatus (fence lizard)
Lineage: Eukaryota; Metazoa; Chordata; Lepidosauria; Squamata; Phrynosomatidae
Gene: VCPKMT
Gene name: valosin containing protein lysine methyltransferase
Exons: 6
Source: RefSeq, a predicted model, not a curated record
AUAACGAAGAGGGGAGCCAUGAUCCCCCUCAAAGGAGCGGGAGAAGACCGCGGGCCCGCCUUCCAUCGCCUCAGGACUAGGCCUGAGAAUAAUGUCGUCCCUUCCAGGGCCUGAGGCCUCCCCGUUCCUCUUCGAGCGGGAGCUGGGGCGCCGCCGUGAGCAGGGCCCGGGGCCCGGCCUUCGCGUGGCGCAGCGCUCGGCCGGAGGGACCGGGUCGGUGGUGUGGGACGCCGCCCUGGUCCUGGCCCGCUUCCUGGAGAAGGAGAGCGAGGCGGCCUCCUCCUCCUCGCUAGGCCUCAGCCUCCCCCGCGCGGAGGUACUUGAGCUGGGCGCCGGCACAGGCCUCGUAGGCCUCAUGGCCGCCUGCCUCGGGGCAAAUGUUACUGUCACGGACCUCGAGGAAGUUCAAGACUUGCUGAAGAUGAACAUUGAGAAUAAUUGGCACCUUAUCACAGGUUCCAUUCAAGCCAAGGUACUGAAAUGGGGUGAAGACGUAACAGAUUUCCUUCCUUCACCUGAUUACAUUCUGAUGGCAGACUGCAUCUACUAUGAAGAGUCCCUGGAGCCAUUGCUCAAGACCUUGAAGGACCUCUCCAGCCCUAAUACCCACAUCCUUUGCUGCUAUGAAGAGAGGACAAUGGGGAAAAACCCAGAGGUGGAGAAAAGAUAUUUUGAGUCAGGCAUACACCGCAAUGGGACCAAAGACCUGUGAUUUAUGAAGUUUGAUUCUGAUGCCAUUUUAAAUCACAGCUUCUCCAGAAGGACUUUGACUUGGAAAAGGUUCCCUUGAAUGAGCACGAUGAAGAGUAUCGUAGUGAGGACAUUCAUAUCUUUAUCAUCCGAAGGAAAAUAAUGAAUUGUUCAUCAUGACAUCUUUGAUGCUGUUUCUGAUGGUCUGGCAGCUGAGGAAAGACACAACUAAGAGUUCUUCACAGAUACUGUGAAGAACAUUUCUGCAGCAAAACUGGAUCAGCGUGCAGCCUCCUGCUGAGAUGAGACAUGCAGACAGUUUUCUUGAAAGAGCUAAAAACACGAACUCUGGGCUUUGGGCUAUUUCUUGGCACGGGAGCUGGUUGUAGAAGAGUAGAAGACUCGGAAAUCAAAUGAGCAUAGAUACAUAACGCAAAAGGUCAGAUGAGUGCUUUAGCUCUUAGAUUUAUACAAACCAUCUAGCCCUUCUACUGUAAUGAUUUGUUUUGGUAUCAAUUGUUUGUUUAUAAAAGUAACUAUAAAGAUAUGAGUUAUUAAACUCUUGUUCUUUCUAGUGCACUGGAAGUGAUAUCACCUCUCUCUUUUCCAUGAUGUCACCACAUGGCUUGAGAUAAUUUUGCUGAUUAAAGAAUGUGCUAAAAAAUAGGUCAAGAGACACAGAUCUGCCCAUGUAUGAAACUGUGAAAAAACAAGCAAGGGAAAGGUGAAGAUUAUAGCUGGAAUUUUUUGGGUGACAUGCAUGCAUGUAACUGCAUCUGUUUUUUCAAUGUUGCACAAGGAGCUACUCACUAGCUCCUCCUGCAAGCCCUCUCCCAAGUAACUGCGAUCACAAAAGUACUGCAUUGCUGUUUACUGGCCUUUACCGUGUGUGUGUGUGUGAGACCAAGCAGCACCCAUCCUAGCUGCAGUUCUGCAACAGGGGAAGGAGAGCAGUUGCAUACAUCUUUCUGGAGGUCGGGGAAAGAGACCUCAUGUCAACAACUGCUGUUUCCCUUAGGAGUUCACUUUGAACAAACCUUCUGUAUAGUAAACAGUAAAAACGUUAUUCCAGAAAACCCUUAGCUGUUAACAGGAAGACAUCUGAGGACAGAAGUGCCAUCAUCCCCCACCACAGGCCUAACAUUAACAUUACCCUUCCUAUAAACUUCACGGGCUUCAUAAUAAUUAAUUAACUAAUUAAAACAUACCAACCCUCUUCUCCACAGCCCAUUGUUUCGCUCAGCCCCCAGUACAGUUGUUCCCAUCUUUACUUGCUGGCAGAAUCUGAAAAAAUUCUUCCUGCACACAUUUGCACAUUCCAGCGCCAGGCACCAAACACCCUUUGAAGCACCACCCAUCAUCUCUACUAAGGCUACACCUCCCAUCGUUCUUUUCUGUAAUUAAAACAUAACAAAACUCAAGUAUGACAAAAUAUGCCAUAUUCUGACACCUCAUUC